RNAcentral lists this ribosomal RNA (748 nucleotides) under uncultured bacterium. RNAcentral describes it as "bacterial SSU rRNA". It matches the Rfam family "Bacterial small subunit ribosomal RNA", at positions 658 to 1408 of the family's 1533-position model. The record is from RNAcentral.
AUCACGGAAUUCCUUGUGUACAGUAGGAAUACGCAGAUAUCAGUAGGAACACCUGCAUAGAAGGCAGUGAUCUGAGCCAAUUCUGACAUGAGGAGCGAAAGCGUGGGAGAGCGAAGCAGGAUAAGAUGACUUGGAUGUCCAGCAGUAAACGGUGGGCACAAGGUGAGGAGACUUUUCGACGGUUUCCGCGCGACAGCUAAGGCAUUAAGUGCACCGCCUGGGGAGUGCAGUAGCAAGACUAAAUCUCAAAGAAAUUGACNNNNNNNCGCACAAGCAGCGGAGCAUGUGGGUUAAUUCGAUGCAACGAGAAAAACCUUACCUAGGUAUGACAUGUAGAGAAAUCCCAUAGAGAUAUGGAGUGCUUCGGCGUUGUACACAGGUGGUGCAUGACUGUCGUCAGCUCGUGUCGUAAGAUGUUGGGUUAAGUCCCGCAACGAGCGCAAACCUUGUCCUGUGUUGCCAGCAAGUAAAGUUGGGGACUCACAGGAGACUGCCGGGGUCAACUAGGAGGAAGGUNNNNNNNACGUCAAGUCAUCAUAAACCUUACGCCUAGGGCUGCACACAUGCUACAAUGGUCGGUACAGAGGGCUAUAAGCCAUGAGGUAGAGCCAAUCCCUAAAACCGAUUUAAAUUCUGAUUCCAGGCUGCAACUCGCCUGCAAGAAGUUGGAAUUAAUAGUAAUCCCGGAUCAGCAUUGCCGGGGUGAAUACGUUCCCGGGCAUAGACACACCGCCAGACAAACCACGAA